Molecule: long non-coding RNA, 226 nt
Organism: Marmota flaviventris (yellow-bellied marmot)
Lineage: Eukaryota; Metazoa; Chordata; Mammalia; Rodentia; Sciuridae
Source: RefSeq, a predicted model, not a curated record
GGUGCUGAGGAUCGAACCCGGGCCGCACGCAUGCCAGGGAGCGCACUACCGCUUGAGCCACAUCCCCAGCCCGAGUAGACCUAUUCAAUGAUAAGAAUUGCUGAGAAAAUUGCUGGCUUCAGAGAAGGCAGAAUAACAGCAAGACAGGAAGCUGGAGAAAGUCAGAUAAACAUGGCAUGCUGAAAAAUUUGUUUCCAGAUUAAAUGUUAACUUUUUAUGGAAUGAA